RNAcentral lists this ribosomal RNA (488 nucleotides) under uncultured Sanguibacter sp. Its description in RNAcentral is "partial 16S ribosomal RNA". Lineage: Bacteria; Bacillati; Actinomycetota; Actinomycetes; Micrococcales; Sanguibacteraceae. The record is from RNAcentral.
CACGUAGUUAGCCGGCGCUUCUUCUGCAGGUACCGUCACUUUCGCUUCUUCCCUACUGAAAGAGGUUUACAACCCGAAGGCCUUCAUCCCUCACGCGGCGUCGCUGCAUCAGGCUUUCGCCCAUUGUGCAAUAUUCCCCACUGCUGCCUCCCGUAGGAGUCUGGGCCGUGUCUCAGUCCCAGUGUGGCCGGUCGCCCUCUCAGGCCGGCUACCCGUCGACGCCUUGGUGAGCCAUUACCUCACCAACAAGCUGAUAGGCCGCGAGUCCAUCCUUGACCGAAAAACUUUCCAGACGCCGACCAUGCGGUCGCGUCUCGUAUCCGGUAUUAGCCCCGGUUUCCCGGAGUUAUCCCAGAGUCAAGGGCAGGUUACUCACGUGUUACUCACCCGUUCGCCACUGAUCAACCAGAGCAAGCUCUGAUGUCACCGUUCGACUUGCAUGUGUUAAGCACGCCGCCAGCGUUCGUCCUGAGCCAGGAUCAAACUCU